UACAGAGGGUGCGAGCGUUAAUCGGAAUUACUGGGCGUAAAGCGCGCGUAGGCGGCUUUGCAAGUCGGGUGUGAAAUCCCCAGGCUUAACCUGGGAACUACAUUCGAGACUGCAUUGCUAGAGUAUGGGAGAGGGAAGUGGAAUUUCCGGUGUAGCGGUGAAAUGCGUAGAUAUCGGGAGGAACAUCUGUGGCGAAGGCGACACCCUAGACCAGCACUGACACUGAGGCACGAAAGCGUGGGGAGCAAACAGG
RNAcentral lists this ribosomal RNA (253 nucleotides) under uncultured bacterium. RNAcentral describes it as "partial 16S ribosomal RNA". It matches the Rfam family "Bacterial small subunit ribosomal RNA", at positions 524 to 776 of the family's 1533-position model. The record is from RNAcentral.